Molecule: ribosomal RNA, 433 nt
Filed under: uncultured bacterium
Lineage: Bacteria
Description: partial 16S ribosomal RNA
Rfam family: Bacterial small subunit ribosomal RNA
Source: RNAcentral
AACGAACGCUGGCGGCAUGCCUAACACAUGCAAGUCGAACGAGACCUUCGGGUCUAGUGGCGCACGGGUGCGUAACGCGUGGGAACCUGCCCUUAGGUUCGGAAUAACUCCCCGAAAGGGGUGCUAAUACCGGAUAAUGUCUUCGGACCAAAGAUUUAUCGCCUUUGGAUGGGCCCGCGUUGGAUUAGCUAGUUGGUAGGGUAAAAGCCUACCAAGGCGAGGAUCCAUAGCUGGUCUGAGAGGAAGAUCAGCCACACUGGGACUGAGAAACGGCCCAGACUCCUACGGGAGGCAGCAGUGGGGAAUAUUGGACAAUGGGCGAAAGCCUGAUCCAGCAAGGCCGCGUGAGUGAUGAAGGUCUUAGGGUUGUAAAGCUCUUUUACCCGGGAUGAUAAUGACAGUACCAGGAGAAUAAGCUCCGGCUAACUCCGUG